RNAcentral lists this RNase P RNA (347 nucleotides) under Candidatus Portiera sp. RNAcentral describes it as "RNase P RNA component class A". It matches the Rfam family "Bacterial RNase P class A". Rfam says of the family: Ribonuclease P (RNase P) is a ubiquitous endoribonuclease, found in archaea, bacteria and eukarya as well as chloroplasts and mitochondria. Its best characterised activity is the generation of mature 5'-ends of tRNAs by cleaving the 5'-leader elements of precursor-tRNAs. The record is from RNAcentral. Lineage: Bacteria; Pseudomonadati; Pseudomonadota; Gammaproteobacteria; Johnevansiales (SeqCode); Johnevansiaceae (SeqCode).
CGAGUUAAUCGGGCAGUCGCUCCCUAGGUUAUCCAGUUCUAUUUUAUAGUGUGGAUUAAUAGUGGAGAGGAAAGUCCGGGCUUCAUAGAGCAGGGUGCCGAGUAAGAUCGGGAAGCGUGAGCUUACGGAAAGUGCCGCAGAAAAUAUACCGCUACUGCUUGUCAGUAGUAAGGGUGAAAAGGUGUGGUAAGAGCGCACCGCGUCGUUGGAGACAAUGAUGGCAGGGUAAACCCCACCUGAAGCAAGAUUAAACAGCAUCCAUUACUGUUGCUCGCAGUGGAUGUGGGUAAAUCGCUUAGAUGAAUGGCUGUCUACAACAGAACCCGGCUUACAGAUUAACUCGUCUU